AUGUCCCUGAGCACCGUGCAGAUACUAGUCUGUAUUGUCAAGGAGUGUUUUAAGUCUCCACCUCAGGGUGAUGACUGCUUUGAUUCACGAGAAGAGGAUCUAAAUGGGUCAGGGAAUUACUUGUCCCUGGGACAGAGCAAUUACACCAUUCUUCACAGGCCCCAGAAGCCUGGCCAACAUGAUGAAACCCCGUCUCUACUAAAAAUACAAAAAUUAGAUGUGGAGGUCAGAGUGGAAGCCAGUGUGAGAGGGUUCAGCAGAAGAAAACAUAGCUGCCAAGUGUUUGAGUCCAUCAGCAAGUUUGGGCUGGCCUUAGCUGUUGCAGGAGGCAUGGUGAACUCUGCCUUAUAUAACAUGGAUGCUGGGCACAGAGCUGUCAUCUUUGACCAGUUCUGUGGAGUACAGGACAUUGUGGUAGGGGAAAGAACUCACUUUCUCAUACCAUGGGUACAGAAACCGAUUAUCUUUGACCACCAUUCUCAACCACGUAAUGUGCCAGUCAUCACUGGUAGCAAGGAUUUACAGAAUGUCAACAUCACACUCUGCGUCCUCUUUGGGCCUGUCACUAGCCAGCUUCCUCGCAUCUUCACCAGCAUCGGAGAAGACUGUGAUGAGUGUGUGCUGCCAUCCAUCACUGCCGAGAGCCUCAAGUCAGUGGUGGCUCGCUUUGAUGCUGGAGAACUCAUCACCCAGAGAGAGCUGGUCUCCAGGCAGGUGAGCGACAACCUUACAGAGCAAGCAGCCACCUUUGGGCUCAUCCUGGACGAUGUGUCCUUGACAAUCUGACCUUCAGGAAGGAGUUCACAGAAGCAGUGGAAGCCAAACAGGUGGCUCAGCAGGAAGCAGAGAGGGCCAGCACUCACUGGCCACUGCAGGGGACGGCCUGAUGGAGCUGUGCGAGCUGGAAGCUGCGGAGGACAUCACGUACCAGCUCUCUCGCUCUUGGAACAUCACCAGUCUGCCGGUGGGGCAGUCCGUGCCCCUCCAGCUGCCCCAGUGAGGGCCCACCCUGCCUGCACCUCCGCGGGCCAACUGGGCCACAGGCCCGAUGAUUCUUAACACUGCCUUCCUUCUGCCCCCACCCCAGAAAUCACUGUGAAAUUUCAUGAUUGGCUUAAAGUGAAGGAAAUAAAGAUAAAAUCACUUCAAAUC
Molecule: RNA transcript, 1152 nt
Organism: Cercocebus atys (sooty mangabey)
Lineage: Eukaryota; Metazoa; Chordata; Mammalia; Primates; Cercopithecidae
Gene name: prohibitin pseudogene
Exons: 3
Source: RefSeq, a predicted model, not a curated record